RNAcentral lists this long non-coding RNA (363 nucleotides) under Elaeis guineensis (African oil palm). Its description in RNAcentral is "long non-coding RNA (EGUI_LNC014076)". The record is from RNAcentral. Lineage: Eukaryota; Viridiplantae; Streptophyta; Magnoliopsida; Arecales; Arecaceae.
UGGGCAUUGUCCUUGGUUUUGAUUCGACGAGUUGGUUGGGCUCAUGCUGACCCCACUGUUGAAUCCAGACCGACAACUCUUAGAAUCUAGUGGUAUUGAACCGAUAAGAAGAACAUUGAUCGGAGUCAUUUUUUUUAAUUUUCGAAUGAUUAUAACGAAACGUGGUAUGCUAGUUAAUGCUACUUAUUAUCCACCAUCGAUGAUAGCCUUAAUUCUCCAUGACAGUUAUCGGUUAACAAAAUAAUGAAUUUUUUUUCUAUAAAAAAGAAACAUAAAAGGGUCUUUGGAUAAGUUUUUCUAAUAGCCAAAAAUACUUUUUUGCCAAUUUUUUGUCUUACUAUUCCCAAAGCUCCAACUAACAUA